CCGCACAUCCAAUUUAAAAUUAAAAAAAAUACAGUUUUUAUAUUUUAGAGCAUAUAUGUAGUGUCCGAAUAGAUGAGCAGAACAAGUGCAGAUCUCCUGCACAUGCAGUUUUCCUGCACUGCAUUCACCAUUCACCAUUUUCUGUUUGCAAAAGCAGUUCAAGCGGGAAAUCUGCAUGCAGUUCAAUAUUUUCUGUCUUUUUGUAGAAAAAGCAGAAGAUCUGCAUGCAGAUCUCACCCGCCAACAUUUGGUGGUGUUGAUCUGCUUUUUUUUUGGUUAAUAAAUAACUUUGUUACAACACAUAACUUUAAAAAUAUAUUUAUCUAGUUUUAUGAAUACAAUAUUUUUAUUUUAUUUUAUUUACAACUUUAACAAUACAAAAUUAUCAUUCUCUACUUAUUAUUUUUUGUCAUAUAAUUCUUAAUUUUUAUAAAUAAGAAAAUAAAAGAAGUAUAAGUAUCUUAAAAAAUAUUUACAGGUAUUUCGGCCGAUCAUAUAACAUCUAAGAUAUUUGUUUAGAUAUCUAAGUGUCAUUUUUAUUGUUUUAAUAUCUCAUCUUUUUUUUUUUUUUUUUUGUAACAUUUUUAAUAUCUCAUCUAUUGUUUUGAACUGCUUUGUCAUUCAUAAGUUAUACUAAAUUAUUUGAUCUGGUUCUCUCCUGCAUGAUCCACUUGAUCUGCACUUGUCAUGCUUGAUCUGCAUGAUCUGCACUUAUCCUGCUUGAUCUACAUGAUCUGCUUGAUCUGUCCUGUUUGAACUGCUUUUACCAUUCGAAGCCGUAGUUUUUUUAUAGAUGUACACAUACCUUUGUAGUACGAAAUCAGAUGAACAACCGUUUAUGAAAUCAGAUUUUAAGAUGAAAAAUACAAAAUAUUGUUUCUGUUUUAAAUAAAUAAGUUUUUUGUUUAAUGUAACUCUUUAUCGAGCCGCACAAUCCCAUUGUUAACAAGUCGUAUCGUCAUUGAUUUGCUCUUUCGUAAUCAUAAUACUUUCGUUUCCCAAUCCAACUUAUUGCACCGCCAAUCUCUUUGAUACUCUAGAAGACCGAAACAAUCUAUAAUAUAAUGAGACAGUUGAGUCAUUUCCAAAACAACACGUCAGCAUUUUGGUUGAUCUCACUUUUAAAUAAUGUGAAAAAGUAUCAGGCAUAUGGCUCAAACUCGGGUUAUUAAGAUAUAAACAUCAACAUUUAUACCAUUAAACUAAAAGAUAUUUUGUACAUUGAUGGCUGAAAGUAAUAUAUAUAUAUGAAGGUCGGAAACCUUUGCUUAUUCGGUUUUCUUUAUGGGUCGGACCUACAAGUGUAUUAUGAGUUUCAUUUUUAAGUGAUCACGUUAUAUGAAAAAAAAACAAUUAUAGUUUUUCCAUAUUGUAAAAUAUCUUCGUUUAACAUGAGUUAUGGUUUUUUUCAUCAUUAUCUUAGACAAGUUUGAGUUACAAACUUGUUUUGUGUGUUUGUUCGUAGUCUAUUUUUCACCGGUGAACUCUUCAUCUCGCCAUCUUAAAUCGCUUGAUCUUAAAUGUUCCUGAUUUGUAGCCUUUCUGUAAACCAUAUAUAUAUGAUUCUCAUCUUUGAUGAACCAAAUCUGCAUCUCCACAAAAUUCAUUGAUUCCUCUUAGAUUUAACGAUAUUCUAGAAAAUGUCUCUCUACCUCUCUAGUUCCUCAAACCGGCGUUCCCGGCAUCCAUCACUCAACAUUCGAGUCUCUCCGUGUUGGUCGUAGUAGUCAGAGCAUAGCCCUAAUCUCUUCGCUUAUGGGAUUUCCUGAACUUCAAGAAAGACAAUGAGUUUAUGGGAAUCACGGUUCUCUUCCUUGAUGAAAAGGUAAGUUAAUCUUCGAUUUAUCACACGUAUUUAAUAUAAUUGUUUUUAAUUGAUUUCCUAAUUCUUUGUUAAAUAAUAUUAUUUGUAGAUUCCGUGAUUUAUGGGUUUAUUCCCGCCGGACGUGGUAAUCAUUACAUGUCAUCUUUGAAAGCUGGUUCCAUUGUGAAAGUCGAUCAUUUUGAGGUUGCUAGGUUCUCAAGUAUAUACAAGAUAAUUGAUCAUCUAUUCCUCAUUCGUUUCAUCUCACCAACUAUUAUUGAUGAAGUCAUCACGGGUGCUCCUGAGAUCAAUCUCCAAUCAUAAUUAGACUGUUUGACAAUUUUCAAGUGAUUGCGAACAAAAACCUAGAACUCCCAGAUGUGGCUGGAAAAAUCCAUUAUGUCCAAGGCUCUGACCUUAGAAAAAAACAACUCGAGUCAUUAUCCGUCUUUUCAUUGAUCCGUAAUAAAUAAUCAACACACCUCGCAGCGGCACCGUUUACGUUGUCGGCGACUCCAUAUAUUUCAGAUGCGCGAAGCUUCCCGUCAGUUGCCAAGCGAACCGUUGCAGAUGGGCAUCUCCUCGGAAAAGCUACUCUAUAAAUGGUUUUGGUGGUUACACAGUGGAUCAGUAAUGGUACAAAAAAAACAUUUUUGUUCUACAAGCUAUGGUUUUGGUGGUUACACAGUGGAUAUACGUUUGUUAGGUUAAUAUUAUUAAUUUAGUUUUUUGUUUGUUUACAGAUUUUACCACCGGUUGUAUAAGAAGGCAAAUUAAUAUUAUUAUAUAAAAGAUGCACGGAAUAUCAGUGUAUUAAGAUAUUUAUACGUAAAUUUGUUUGAUGGUUACAUGCCAAUUUCCCUAAUGAUAAUAGAAAAAAAAACGUGUUUGUUGCAUCAUAUGACUUUAAUCAAGAGAGUUUGGAAAAAUUUAUAUGUGAAAUAAAAAAUGGAUGAUAUAUAAAGUAGAAUAAAACUAAAAUUAUUAAUUGAAUUGUAAAUUCCACUCUUUCUAUUUAUUUAUCGACGUUUAAAAUUUGAAAAAUGAAAAACUGCAAAUAAUAUAUUUUUCGAAAAUAAAAUAUGUGAAUUUGUAGUAAAAAAGUUUCAUUUUAACUGAAAUCUGUUUAAUGAAAUCAUAUAAAAUGAUACAUUUAAAAUCAAUUUGUCCCACAGGAAACAUUCAAACCGAAUCCAAAUUGAAUCCGGAUAUCUUAAUUUUUAGGUUCGGAUAUUCGGAUCCAUUUUUUAAAACACAUUAAAUUUUUUAUAUUUCAUUAAUAUUUAUAUUUUAUAUAAUAAUAUUUAUACAUAAAUUAAUUUUAUAAUAUUAUAUUUUAGUUUUUACAAUAUUAUAGACACACACACAUAUAUAUAUAUAUAGAUAUAUUUAUAAAUCUUGUAUAAAUAUUUAAUUAAGUAUUAUUUUUAAAAUUUUAGUAGUUUUUUUUUUAAAUAAUUAUUUAAAAUUAUUUUUGUGGAUCCGAAUCUGUAACUGGAUAUUCGCGAAUAAUAGAAUAUAGAGGAUAUCCACGAAUAAUAGAAUAUAGAGACGGAUAUCCGGAUGCGUCCAAGAUCUAGUAGCAAUAGACUAU
Brassica rapa (field mustard) is the source of this 3398-nucleotide long non-coding RNA. RefSeq lists it as uncharacterized. The record is from RefSeq and is a predicted model, not a curated record. NCBI's taxonomy places the organism in Eukaryota, Viridiplantae, Streptophyta, Magnoliopsida, Brassicales, Brassicaceae.